CAUGACGGUACCGUAAGAAUAAGCACCGGCUAACUACGUGCCAGCAGCCGCGGUGAUACGUAGGGUGCGAGCGUUGUCCGGAUUUAUUGGGCGUAAAGGGCUCGUAGGCGGUUGAUCGCGUCGGAAGUGGAAACUUGAUGCUUAACGUUGAGCGUGCUUUCGAUACGGGUUGACUUGAGGAAGGUAGGGGAGAAUGGAAUUCCUGGUGGAGCGGUGGAAUGCGCAGAUAUCAGGAGGAACACCAGUGGCGAAGGCGGUUCUCUGGGCCUUUCCUGACGCUGAGGAGCGAAAGCGUGGGGAGCGAACAGGCUUAGAUACCCUGGUAGUCCACGCUGUAAACGGUGGGUACUAGGUGUGGGGUCCAUUCCACGGGUUCCGUGCCGUAGCUAACGCUUUAAGUACCCCGCCUGGGGAGUACGGCCGCAAGGCUAAAACUCAAAGGAAUUGACGGGGGCCCGCACAAGCGGCGGAGCAUGUGGAUUAAUUCGAUGCAACGCGUAGAACCUUACCUGGGUUUGACAUGGAUCGGGAGUGCUCAGAGAUGGGUGUGCCUCUUUUGGGGUCGGUUCACAGGUGGUGCAUGGCUGUCGUCAGCUCGUGUCGUG
This 605-nucleotide ribosomal RNA is filed under the name Prymnesium parvum. RNAcentral describes it as "partial Bacterial small subunit ribosomal RNA". It matches the Rfam family "Bacterial small subunit ribosomal RNA", at positions 468 to 1069 of the family's 1533-position model. The record is from RNAcentral. Lineage: Eukaryota; Haptophyta; Prymnesiales; Prymnesiaceae.